UGUGGUGCACUGUGAGAGCGACACCUUAUUUUUCCGAAAGAAAAAAAAACACUCGAUUGAGGAAAUUGACACCGUGGAAUAAAAGAAAAGGAAAUUGACCGAUUGUUGCUCUCUCAGAGAGAGAGAGAGAGAGAGAGAGCGAUGACUCGGGGAAAGCAGAAGAUCGAAGCGCAGAGAAGAAAUGCGGAGAGGAAUCAGAAGCCAAAAGGGUCUCAGUUUGAGGCCAGAGCCGUUGCUCUCAAAAUCAGCUGUCCAAUCUGCAAGGCGCAACUUGCAAACGCAAAGCAACUUGCUGAUCACUAUGCUUCCAAACAUCCCAGAGAACAGCCUCCAGCUGAACCAGAAUGAUCCUUUUCUCAUGUUAAGAAUGAUGAAAAAAGUAGUAAAAUAUCUCUCUUUUAGAACAAUGUAUUUCAAUAAAUUUGUUCUACAUUGACUCUUAUGAAAUCGCCCAACCUCCCCCCCUGUUUGUGAACCAUUGUACGACUAUGAAGGAUACUUGAUACCA
This is a long non-coding RNA of Rosa rugosa (rugosa rose), 508 nucleotides long. RefSeq lists it as uncharacterized. The record is from RefSeq and is a predicted model, not a curated record. The transcript is spliced from 2 exons. Lineage: Eukaryota; Viridiplantae; Streptophyta; Magnoliopsida; Rosales; Rosaceae.